Molecule: small RNA, 170 nt
Filed under: Tiarina fusus
Lineage: Eukaryota; Ciliophora; Prostomatea; Prorodontida; Colepidae
Description: Tiarina fusa partial transfer-messenger RNA
Source: RNAcentral
GACGCGCUGUGCGAUCCAACUUUAUGGAACAACCCGAGCAAGCAAGGAUUACUCGUAAAACAAGGACACAUCAUUAAAAAUUGGAAAGAACGUUGGUUCGUUCUCCAAGGCAAAUAUCUUUUCUACUUUAAAUGCCAAGGCGCCGAGAAACCAAUCAGCGUUAUAAACCU